RNAcentral lists this ribosomal RNA (253 nucleotides) under uncultured bacterium. Its description in RNAcentral is "partial 16S ribosomal RNA". It matches the Rfam family "Bacterial small subunit ribosomal RNA", at positions 524 to 776 of the family's 1533-position model. The record is from RNAcentral.
UACGGGGGGUCCAAGCGUUGUUCGGAAUCAUUGGGCGUAAAGCGGGUGUAGGCGGACCGACAAGUCAGAAGUGAAAGCCCUGGGCUCAACCCAGGAAGUGCUUUUGAAACUGUCGGUCUUGAGUGCAGUAGAGGAGAGUGGAAUUCCAGGUGUAGUGGUGAAAUACGUAGAUAUCUGGAGGAACAUCAGUGGCGAAGGCGGCUCUCUGGACUGUUACUGACGCUCAGACCCGAAAGCGUGGGUAGCGAACAGG